This 253-nucleotide ribosomal RNA is filed under the name uncultured bacterium. Its description in RNAcentral is "partial 16S ribosomal RNA". It matches the Rfam family "Bacterial small subunit ribosomal RNA", at positions 524 to 776 of the family's 1533-position model. The record is from RNAcentral.
UACGUAGGGGGCGAGCGUUGUCCGGAUUUAUUGGGCGUAAAGAGCGUGUAGGCGGCCAGGUAGGUCUGCUGUGAAAACUCGAGGCUCAACCUCGAGACGUCGGCGGAAACCAUCUGGCUAGAGUCCGGAAGAGGCGAGUGGAAUUCCCGGCGUAGCGGUGAAAUGCGCAGAUAUCGGGAGGAACACCAAUGGCGAAGGCAGCUCGCUGGGACGUUACUGACGCUGAGACGCGAAAGCGUGGGGAGCAAACAGG